AUGCACCAUCUUGUCGUGGUCGACGCCGUCACAGCGCCCAUCACCACAUCGUCCUGCCGCACGCAGCAGCCACCUCUUGACGUGGACGGCGCCUUCGCAACGCCGAUCACCACGCCAUCAUCACCUCGCGGCAUCGCACCGAAACCGGCCAUCAGCGGUACCGCACCGCUGCCAGCCAUCACCUCGCACCGACGUCCUCCACCUCACAUGGAGUCCACCGCGUCACCACCGUCGCAGCCGUUGCCUCCGCCCAGCACCACAGCGGCCACCAUAGCCGCCGGCACCGUCGUCGCCGCCACGGAUCAACAAGGCUCCGAUGCCAAUUAUUGGCGCCGCCUCUCGCAGCGCCGCUUCUUCUUCUACCUUGGUGCUGCCUCUCACAGCUCCCUCUAUCUUUCUCUGGUUGUUUCUCUCUAUCUUCUUCUCACAAGAACACACACACCCACAUAUGAAACUCUACACACACACGCAACCAAGGAGAAGACCAGCUGGUGCUUUGCCAAGAGGCUCUCCUCCUCGGUGGAACAAGAGACUACAUUGUCUAUUUUCCCAGCCCUCACAGCCUCUUCCAUUACUAAAUCAGAUGACUAUUUAUACAAAGUUUGGCACUCAGCCAAGACCCACACUCACGCCAUACUCCACUAA
RNAcentral lists this ribosomal RNA (645 nucleotides) under Triticum aestivum (bread wheat). RNAcentral describes it as "partial small subunit ribosomal RNA". Lineage: Eukaryota; Viridiplantae; Streptophyta; Magnoliopsida; Poales; Poaceae. The record is from RNAcentral.